This 467-nucleotide ribosomal RNA is filed under the name uncultured bacterium. Its description in RNAcentral is "partial 16S ribosomal RNA". It matches the Rfam family "Bacterial small subunit ribosomal RNA", at positions 29 to 507 of the family's 1533-position model. The record is from RNAcentral.
ACGAACGCUGGCGGCGUGCUUAACACAUGCCAGUCGAACGGUGAAGCUCCAGCUUGCUGGAGUGGAUCCGUGGCGAACGGGUGAGUAACACGUGAGCAACCUGCCCCAGACUCUGGAAUAAGCGCUGGAAACGGCGUCUAAUACUGGAUACGAGAUCAAGCCGCAUGGUUAUGGUCUGGAAAGUUUUUCGGUUUGGGAUGGGCUCGCGGCCUAUCAGCUUGUUGGUGAGGUAAUGGCUCACCAAGGCGACGACGGGUAGCCGGCCUGAGAGGGCGACCGGCCACACUGGGACUGAGACACGGCCCAGACUCCUACGGGAGGCAGCAGUGGGGAAUAUUGCACAAUGGGCGAAAGCCUGAUGCAGCGACGCCGCGUGAGGGAUGACGGCCUUCGGGUUGUAAACCUCUUUCAGCAGGGAAGAAGUGAAAGUGACGGUACCUGCAGAAGAAGCACCGGCUAACUACGUG